GUGAUUAUUAUAAUGACGAUGAUGAUGGUGAAAAUGAAUUCCCGUCGCAGGGUAGAUUUAGCGGGAGGGAAGAAGAGAAGAAUUAUGACAAAGAUCCUGAAUUUGCUGAGAUUCUUGGGAGUUGUCUUGAUGACCCACAAAAAGCUCAAAGUAAAAUGGAGGAGAGAUUGAGGAGGAAAAGAAACAAGGUUUUGCACACAAAGACGGGUUCAGCUAUACCUAUGAAGGUCACAUUCAACAAAUUUGAUUUCUCAAACUCAUACAUAUGGUUUGAGUUCUACAAUGCUCCACUGGAAAAAGAUAUCACCUUAAUUUGUGAUGCAAUACGGGCAUGGCACAUAAUUGGACGCC
Molecule: unclassified non-coding RNA, 351 nt
Filed under: Hevea brasiliensis (rubber tree)
Lineage: Eukaryota; Viridiplantae; Streptophyta; Magnoliopsida; Malpighiales; Euphorbiaceae
Source: RNAcentral